CCCUUAGAUGUUCUGGGCCGCACGCGCGCUACACUGACGAAUGCAACGAGCUUAUAACCUUGGCCGAAAGGUCUGGGUAAUCUCCAAAUUUCGUCGUGAUGGGGAUAGAUUAUUGCAAUUAUUAAUCUUCAACGAGGAAUGCCUAGUAAGCGCAAGUCAUCAGCUUGCGUUGAUUACGUCCCUGCCCUUUGUACACACCGCCCGUCGCUCCUACCGAUUGAAUGGUCCGGUGAAGCGUUCGGACCGUGGCCUUUGGACGGUUCGCCGUCUGUUGGCUGCGGGAAGUUCGUUAAACCUUCUCAUUUAGAGGAAGGAGAAGUCGUAACA
RNAcentral lists this ribosomal RNA (327 nucleotides) under uncultured eukaryote. RNAcentral describes it as "partial 18S ribosomal RNA". It matches the Rfam family "Eukaryotic small subunit ribosomal RNA", at positions 1470 to 1796 of the family's 1831-position model. The record is from RNAcentral.